CUUUUAUGUUAUCAUUGUAGUUUUAGGUUUUGAUCUUUGGUCUGUAGUUAAUUUUUACAUAGAUGAGAUCUCCACGCGGUUGUUGAGUCGGAUUCCAAGCAUGGUGAGAUCGGUGAUAAUAUACUCGCCUGCUAGAACUGCUACCGAGGAAGGAUCUGGAAAACUUCGUAUCCACCUUAAAACCAAUAGCUUCUGGUAUCAGUAAAAUUAGCCUUUGAUAUGGUUGUAGGUGGGAGAAUCCAUUGAUGGGAUGGACUUCUACAGGUCAAGAAGCCCAAAACACAGUUAUUGAAGGUCUGUAAACUAUCUAUCUCUUUAGUUAAUGCCACUUUUGACUUAACGAGCUCUACUCAUAGGAGGUGUUUAAGCCUACGCUUG
This is a long non-coding RNA of Eutrema salsugineum, 378 nucleotides long. RefSeq lists it as uncharacterized. NCBI's taxonomy places the organism in Eukaryota, Viridiplantae, Streptophyta, Magnoliopsida, Brassicales, Brassicaceae. The transcript is spliced from 4 exons. The record is from RefSeq and is a predicted model, not a curated record.